UUAAUUGAAGCCAAAAAGAGGCAAUUUAUUGUUAAUAAAUCAACUGACUUCCUUAGUCCAAUUAAA
This 66-nucleotide transfer RNA is filed under the name Acanthaspis ruficeps. Its description in RNAcentral is "tRNA-Asn". The record is from RNAcentral. Lineage: Eukaryota; Metazoa; Arthropoda; Insecta; Hemiptera; Reduviidae.